RNAcentral lists this ribosomal RNA (242 nucleotides) under uncultured bacterium. Its description in RNAcentral is "partial 16S ribosomal RNA". It matches the Rfam family "Bacterial small subunit ribosomal RNA", at positions 535 to 776 of the family's 1533-position model. The record is from RNAcentral.
CAAGCGUUGUUCGGAAUUACUGGGCGUAAAGGGCUCGUAGGCGGCCAACUCAGUCGGACGUGAAAUCCCUCGGCUUAACCGGGGAAUGGCGUCCGAUACUGGAUGGCUUGAGUUUGGGAGAGGGAUGCGGAAUUCCAGGUGUAGCGGUGAAAUGCGUAGAUAUCUGGAGGAACACCGGUGGCGAAGGCGGCUCUCUGGGACGGUACUGACGCUGAGACGCGAAAGCGUGGGGAGCGAACAGG